UAGAUACCCCACUAUGCUUAGUCGUAAACUUAAAUAGUCCCAAWACAAGACUAUUCGCCAGAGUACUACCGGCAACAGCCCAAAACUCAAAGGACUUGGCGGUGCUUCAUAUCCUUCUAGAGGAGCCUGUUCUGUAAACGAUAAACCACGAUUAACCUCACCAACCCUUGCUACUUCAGUCUAUAUACCGCCAUCUUCAGCAAACCCUAAAAAGGAACGAAAGUAAGCACAACUAUUGCACGUAAAAACGUUAGGUCAAGGUGUAACCUAUGGGUUGGGAAGAAAUGGGCUACAUUUUCUAUAAUAAGAACACCCCUUUAAACCUACACGAAAGUUUUUAUGAAAUCUAAAAACUAAAGGAGGAUUUAGCAGUAAAUUAAGAAUAGAAUGCUUAAUUGAAUAAGGCCAUGAAGCACGCACACACC
This 425-nucleotide ribosomal RNA is filed under the name Orcinus orca (killer whale). RNAcentral's name for it is "partial 12S ribosomal RNA". It matches the Rfam family "Bacterial small subunit ribosomal RNA", at positions 779 to 1391 of the family's 1533-position model. The record is from RNAcentral. Lineage: Eukaryota; Metazoa; Chordata; Mammalia; Artiodactyla; Delphinidae.